This 510-nucleotide ribosomal RNA is filed under the name uncultured bacterium. RNAcentral's name for it is "partial 16S ribosomal RNA". It matches the Rfam family "Bacterial small subunit ribosomal RNA", at positions 28 to 507 of the family's 1533-position model. The record is from RNAcentral.
GACGAACGCUGGCGGCGUGCUUAACACAUGCAAGUCGAACGAAGAGCGAUGGAAGCUUGCUUCUAUCAAUCUUAGUGGCGAACGGGUGAGUAACGCGUAAUCAACCUGCCCUUCAGAGGGGGACAACAGUUGGAAACGACUGCUAAUACCGCAUACGAUCUAAUCUCGGCAUCGAGGAUGGAUGAAAGGUGGCCUCUACAUGUAAGCUAUCACUGAAGGAGGGGAUUGCGUCUGAGUAGCUAGUUGGAGGGGUAACGGCCCACCAAGGCGAUGAUCAGUAGCCGGUCUGAGAGGAUGAACGGCCACAUUGGGACUGAGACACGGCCCAGACUCCUACGGGAGGCAGCAGUGGGGAAUCUUCCGCAAUGGACGAAAGUCUGACGGAGCAACGCCGCGUGAGUGAUGACGGCCUUCGGGUUGUAAAGCUCUGUUAAUCGGGACGAAAGGCCUUCUUGCGAAUAGUGAGAAGGAUUGACGGUACCGGAAUAGAAAGCCACGGCUAACUACGUG